AACUUUCAACAACGGAUCUCUAGGCUCUCGCAUCGAUGAAGAACGCAGCGAAAUGCGAUAAGUAAUGUGAAUUGCAGAAUUCAGUGAAUCAUCGAAUCUUUGAACGCACCUUGCGCCCCUUGGUAUUCCGAGGGGCAUGCCUGUUUGAGUGUCG
RNAcentral lists this ribosomal RNA (154 nucleotides) under Inonotus hispidus. RNAcentral describes it as "5.8S ribosomal RNA". It matches the Rfam family "5.8S ribosomal RNA". Rfam says of the family: 5.8S ribosomal RNA (5.8S rRNA) is a component of the large subunit of the eukaryotic ribosome. It is transcribed by RNA polymerase I as part of the 45S precursor that also contains 18S and 28S rRNA. The record is from RNAcentral. Lineage: Eukaryota; Fungi; Basidiomycota; Agaricomycetes; Hymenochaetales; Hymenochaetaceae. RNAcentral also lists the same sequence under 1 other name.